This 460-nucleotide ribosomal RNA is filed under the name uncultured bacterium. RNAcentral describes it as "partial 16S ribosomal RNA". It matches the Rfam family "Bacterial small subunit ribosomal RNA", at positions 338 to 795 of the family's 1533-position model. The record is from RNAcentral.
CCUACGGGAGGCAGCAGUGAGGAAUAUUGGUCAAUGGACGAGAGUCUGAACCAGCCAAGUAGCGUGAAGGAUGACGGCCCUAUGGGUUGUAAACUUCUUUUAUAUGGGAAUAAAAUGUUCCACGUGUGGGAGUUUGUAUGUACCAUAUGAAUAAGGAUCGGCUAACUCCGUGCCAGCAGCCGCGGUAAUACGGAGGAUCCGAGCGUUAUCCGGAUUUAUUGGGUUUAAAGGGAGCGUAGGUGGGUUGUUAAGUUAGUUGUGAAAGUUUGCGGCUCAACCGUCAAAUUGCAGUUGAAACUGGCAGUCUUGAGUACAGUAGAGGUUGGCGGAAUUCGUUGUGGAGCGGUGAAAUGCUUAGAUAUCACGAAGAACUCCGAUUGCGAAGGCAGCUCACUGGACUGCAACUGACACUGAGGCUCGAAAGUGUGGGUAUCAAACCGGAUUAGAUACCCUUGUAGUC